AUUUAAAUUUCUUUAUUAAUUUCUUAUAUAUAAUUUAUAUUAAAUAUAAAAAUAUAUUUUUUAAAUAAAAAGACGAUAAGACCCUAUUAAAUUUUACUUAUAGUUUAACUGGGGAAGUUUUAAAAAUAAAAUUUUUUAUAAAAAUAAAAAUAAAUCUAAUAAAAUUAAAAUUAAAUUAAAUUACUAUAGGGAUAACAGCAUUAUAUUUUUUAAAAGUUCAUAUUAAAAAAAAUGAUUGUGACCUCGAUGUUGAAUUAUAUUUUCUUUAUUAAUGCAAUAAUUAUAAAAGUAGAUCUGUUCGAUCUUUAAAAUAUUACAUGAUUUGAGUUCAAACCGGUGUAAACCAGGUUGGUUUCUAUCUUUUUAUAAAUUCAUAUAUAUAUAUAUAUAUAUACAUAAAUUUUUCAAGUACGAAAGGAAAAAAAAAUUUUUAUUUUAAUUAAUUAGCAAUUAAUAUGCAUUAGAUUUAGAAUCUAAAUAAACUAUUAUU
This 490-nucleotide unclassified non-coding RNA is filed under the name Anelosimus eximius. RNAcentral's name for it is "partial contains 16S ribosomal RNA and tRNA-Leu (trnL)". The stretch from base 67 to 364 matches the Rfam family "Bacterial large subunit ribosomal RNA", at positions 2074 to 2646 of the family's 2925-position model. The record is from RNAcentral. Lineage: Eukaryota; Metazoa; Arthropoda; Arachnida; Araneae; Theridiidae.